AUUGAACGCUGGCGGCAUGCCUUACACAUGCAAGUCGAACGGUAACGGGCCUUCAGGUGCCGACGAGUGGCGCACGGGUGAGUAAUACAUCGGAACGUGCCCGAUCGUGGGGGAUAACGAGGCGAAAGCUUUGCUAAUACCGCAUACGAUCUACGGAUGAAAGCAGGGGACCGCAAGGCCUUGCGCGGACGGAGCGGCCGAUGGCAGAUUAGGUAGUUGGUGGGAUAAAAGCUUACCAAGCCGACGAUCUGUAGCUGGUCUGAGAGGAUGAUCAGCCACACUGGGACUGAGACACGGCCCAGACUCCUACGGGAGGCAGCAGUGGGGAAUUUUGGACAAUGGGCGCAAGCCUGAUCCAGCCAUGCCGCGUGCAGGAUGAAGGCCUUCGGGUUGUAAACUGCUUUUGUACGGAACGAAAAGCCUUCUUUUAAUACAGGAGGGUCAUGACGGUACCGUAAGAAUAAGCACCGGCUAACUACGUG
This 482-nucleotide ribosomal RNA is filed under the name uncultured bacterium. RNAcentral describes it as "partial 16S ribosomal RNA". It matches the Rfam family "Bacterial small subunit ribosomal RNA", at positions 30 to 507 of the family's 1533-position model. The record is from RNAcentral.